RNAcentral lists this long non-coding RNA (205 nucleotides) under Olea europaea (common olive). RNAcentral's name for it is "long non-coding RNA (OEUR_LNC002628)". The record is from RNAcentral. Lineage: Eukaryota; Viridiplantae; Streptophyta; Magnoliopsida; Lamiales; Oleaceae.
UGAAAUAAUAUUAACCCACGUUAACAUCAUAGCCCGGGAUUUAUUGGGUAUCAAAAAACCCAACAAAUCUCCACCUUGAUGCCCAAUAAAUCUGCAAGCAAUCAAAACACACAGUUAACACUUGCAUAAUCAAGGUAGCCAAUAAAAUUGGAUCACAGACCUUACCUCGUGUUUCCAACUUGAAACACAUACCAUACCUGCUCCA